GCCAGUCUUCCUCUUUUUUUCAUUUUGUAUGAGCUGCCGCUAUAGCAUGGCUGCUAACAGACAAGUGCUGUAGGUCCUCGCCUGGGAACCGAACCUGGGCUGCCUAAGCGGAGCAGCUGAACUUAACUAACAGUCCAUUGGGGCUGGCCCAGCUACCAGUAUCUGCAUCUCUCUUUGCUGAAAGGCUGUCUCUGAAGGCUGGAGCCAGCUCUGCCCAAGCAGAUGGUAGACCAAAAAUACUAUAAGCUUACUGCCUACAGGAGCCGCUCUCAACCAGUGAUUGACAGGAGUUGGUAUAUAAAUCCUUCAGGUCCCUCACUCCUCAGAAACUUCUUUAUCUGGCAGAAAAUGGCAACUCAUCAAACCUGCAGCAGAAGGCAACUUUUCAACUCUCCAUCAAUAUGACCAGCAUUAAGCAUCCAUCAAAUGAAGGAUUGGGAGCGAUAACCUUAAAAAAUCCUGCGAGGGAACUAGUUAUUGAUUCUCUGUUCAGCCUGAUGGAUGAAGGGGCAAGGGCCACAAGUGAUUGCAGAAGGCACACACCUGGCUGCCUGCCCACUCUUGCCUGUGUUGGGCAGGACUUCUGGCUAGAAAGCAUACCUUUGGUUUUACCAAAAGCACAGUUCCCUCAUGGUGAUCAAUUGCAAUUUGAUCCAAGCUGGAGGUCUGCUCUUCCUUUCCUUUCCUUGGGAUUUCAGAAAAGCCCAGAGGACAAUUUACAAUGAAACGUAAUUACUCUUCACCUGGCUGUUUGUAUGAUUGGGACUAUUUGGAGGAUGAAUCGUGAUUUAUACCAAGAAGGAAAAAACUGGUCUGUUAAUCGUGUGAAGGAGCUUGUAAGAAGGGCUUAACUUACUUUGGAGAUUAAAUUCUUUUCAGGGACUUGAGAAGCACUGAUUCAUAUUAAAAUAACAAAUGUGCUAACUACAGUUUAAUCCUUUCACCUCAUUAAGCCAGAACCACA
RNAcentral lists this long non-coding RNA (964 nucleotides) under Equus caballus (horse). Its description in RNAcentral is "lncRNA (ENSECAG00000050663.1)". The record is from RNAcentral. Lineage: Eukaryota; Metazoa; Chordata; Mammalia; Perissodactyla; Equidae.